UUGAAUCAUGGGGACCAGUUUCCCCCAUGCUGUUCUCGUGAUACUGAGUGAAUUCUCAUUGCAGCUGAUGGUUUUUUGUUUGGUAGUUCCUCCUGCAUUCAUUUCUCUUCCUGCUGCCUUGUGAAGAAGGUGCCUUGCUUCCCCUUCACCUUCUACGGUGAUUGCAAGUUGCCUGAGGAUUCCCCAGCCAUGUGAAACUUUCACAGAGUUUGAGAGAAACUGUAUUCAAGUUGCUGAAACCAAGAAGCUACACUCACGAGUCUCACCUAAACUCGAAUCUGAUUUAGAUGACAUCAUCCUGGACUUUGAGUUGAUGAAACCUUGGAGGUCUUGGGAGUAAAGCAAGUGUGAUUUGCAUAUGAUGGAUAUGAAUUGUAAUGGCCAGAGCAUGGCUGUGAGAUGAAAACUCCCAUUUUAGGGAACCAAGACUGAAUUCCAUAAUUUACAUGGAUGUUUGGAAGGUGUCUGCAACUUAAUCUGUGUUCGUUUCUGAGAUGUUGGGCAACUCCUUCUUGGAAGAUGUGGUAAUGGUCUCUUCGAAAAGAAAAUAAUCAUCUGAGUUUUGGCCAAAAUAGUUGAUCGGAUUACCUAUGAAAAUGACUCUCACCCAACUACAAGAAUGUUAUGAUGUAGAAACUCUAAAUAUAUGAGUAAUUAACUAUACAACACUCCAUCCCCAUGUGAAAAUCUUUAAUCUUUUAAGAUACUGAAAUUUUGUGUAUGUCUCAUAAUUUUCUGUAUAUGGUCAAUGAGUUUUGCCUUAGCCAUAAGUGGUCUGUCUGAAAUCUUCUCUAUUAUUUGUGCAUUUUCUUCCUGAUGUACCAAGCCUAGUCUGUUUGUUUUUUCCUAAGAGAAAAGCAGAUGAUUCAACUGUGUAUUUCUCAGUGUUGAUAUUGUGGUUUGAGGUAUUUCAUAAUCUUGAGUAAAAUCUUGUCAAUUUUAUGCUAUGCCUUGUGGGAACAUAUUUUUACUUUUAAGUCUCUUUGGCAAGUGGAGCUUCCUUUGUGUUUCCUCACCAAAUGUAUUCCCCAUUGUUUUCUGAUUAAUUCUUUUUCAGAAUGUUUACUCCUUCUUACCUCAAUGUCAUUACUUUUCAGUCUUGGCUUUGGGUAAACCUAGGACAAGAAUUGGAUAUCCAAAGCCAAUUUCAAUAUAAAAACUAUAAUAUCUAUCAAAAUCUAUGUAAAAUCCUGUGUAUAUUUCUCUUCUUUGUUGAACAGGGGCUUAUAAUCAUGUAGGUAAAUACACGUGGUUUUGAUUUCA
This 1263-nucleotide long non-coding RNA is filed under the name Homo sapiens (human). Its description in RNAcentral is "HSALNT0349467". The record is from RNAcentral. Lineage: Eukaryota; Metazoa; Chordata; Mammalia; Primates; Hominidae.